Papaver somniferum (opium poppy) is the source of this 292-nucleotide long non-coding RNA. RefSeq lists it as uncharacterized. The transcript has 3 exons. The record is from RefSeq and is a predicted model, not a curated record. Lineage: Eukaryota; Viridiplantae; Streptophyta; Magnoliopsida; Ranunculales; Papaveraceae.
AAAGAAUAAAGUGCUUGAAUAUUUCAAUACUCAUCCGAAAACAGACAUUGCUUGGAUAGAAUGCGACGAAGAUGGUAACCAGAUGUUUGAUAUAUCUGGAGAACUAAUGCUACAGCUUACAAAGAAAGAAUCCUAUUUGGAGUCAGAAUUCAUCGACUUCUACAUUAGCAGAUUGAAGACAAAGAUGAACUCUAACAGCAAGUAUGACAAAGCGAUAUUCCUGUCGCCAAAAGCAUACAUCUCUUACUUGAAGGAUUACGAAGAAUUCAAGAAAUUUUGGAUUCCGAAGCUU